ACGAACGCUGGCGGCGUGCUUCACCCAUGCAAGUCGCACGGAAAGGCCCUGCUUUUGUGGGGUGCUCGAGUGGCGAACGGGGGAGUAACACGUGAGUAACCUGCCCUUGACUUUGGGAUAACUUCAGGAAACUGGGGCUAAUACCGGAUAGGAGCUCCUGCUGCAUGGUGGGGGUUGGAAAGUUUCGGCGGUUGGGGAUGGACUCGCGGCUUAUCAGCUUGUUGGUGGGGUAGUGGCUUACCAAGGCUUUGACGGGUAGCCGGCCUGAGAGGGUGACCGGCCACAUUGGGACUGAGAUACGGCCCAGACUCCUACGGGAGGCAGCAGUGGGGAAUAUUGCACAAUGGGCGGAAGCCUGAUGCAGCAACGCCGCGUGCGGGAUGACGGCCUUCGGGUUGUAAACCGCUUUCGCCUGUGACGAAGCGUGAGUGACGGUAAUGGGUAAAGAAGCACCGGCUAACUACGUG
This 467-nucleotide ribosomal RNA is filed under the name uncultured bacterium. Its description in RNAcentral is "partial 16S ribosomal RNA". It matches the Rfam family "Bacterial small subunit ribosomal RNA", at positions 29 to 507 of the family's 1533-position model. The record is from RNAcentral.